RNAcentral lists this ribosomal RNA (465 nucleotides) under uncultured bacterium. RNAcentral describes it as "partial 16S ribosomal RNA". It matches the Rfam family "Bacterial small subunit ribosomal RNA", at positions 28 to 507 of the family's 1533-position model. The record is from RNAcentral.
GAUGAACGCUGGCGGCGUGCUUAACACAUGCAAGUCGAACGGAAAGGCUCCUGCUUGCAGGGGUACUCGAGUGGCGAACGGGUGAGUAACACGUGGGUGAUCUGCCCUGCACUUCGGGAUAAGCCUGGGAAACUGGGUCUAAUACCGGAUAGGACGAUGGGUUGGAUGCCAUUGUGGAAAGAUUUUCGGUGUGGGAUGAGCUCGCGGCCUAUCAGCUUGUUGGUGGGGUAAUGGCCUACCAAGGCGUCGACGGGUAGCCGGCCUGAGAGGGUGUAAGGCCACAUUGGGAUUGAGGUACGGGCCAGAGUGCAACGGGAGGCAGCGGUGGGAGACAUUGCACAAUGGGCGCCAGCAGGAUGCAGCGACGCCGGGUGGGGGAGGACGGCCUUCGGGUUGUAAACUCCUUUCGCUAGGGACGAAGCGCAAGUGACGGUACCUGGAGAAGAAGCACCGGCUAACUACGUG